AGGACAUCACUUGUCUGAUUGUCAUUACCAUUCACGCCACUGCCUACUUUUGUGACACAGAGUUGUUCCUUGUGAGGCACCAUGAACAGAAAAUAAACCCAGAGGUAGUUUGGUGGACAACCUAAGGAGGGAAUGAACAUUUGCUCUUCCUCUCUCCAUAAUCCCUUUGCUGAUGUUGUGUGUCUCAUAAAUCUUCUGCUUAUUCUCCAAACCAAACAGCAUACAAAGAUCUGGGUUCCUGUGGAAGAAGACUUUCACCAGAGUACACAGCAAGAGUCCCUUUAAACUUCAAUCCUUAGCUGUUGUACGUAUACUUCAGGACUUGUUGUCAAAAUACCAAUCAUCAAGAGAAGGUGUCACAAUCUAAGUAGUAGUAAUUAUCUUGAUCAUCAUAAAGAGAUAGAAAUGUUAUGCAGUGAGGUCAGAAAACAACAUGCUUGAUACUGAUGUCCUCCCUGAGAUAUCUCUUGACAUUUUCUUACCCAAUUUUAUUGUUUAAUGCUCAUGUACAGUAGGCUGAGGGAAGCAUGAAGACCUGGAGUUCAAACCCCCUUGGGAGUGAAUAACUUCUUGGUCAACAUACGAAUAAGACCCUAAGCCAGUGAAGAUGCUAGUUAAAAUUGACGGGAAUCUAGAACUGGUUUUUAAAAAAGAAAAAAAAAAGAGAGAGAGAGAGAGAAGCAAAUUAUGUCUUCAAGACCAGCUACAGUGGUGAUGUUGAAGUUUUUUCCACUAAACUUCCUGUUGCAAUUUACCCCAAGAAAUAUGAACAGUGCAAAUCUUGAAUGAAGAGUUUCCAAAAUGUAUUACAUAAAGUAUGUGGAGCUGAAGAAAGCAAAAGGUUGGACUAUAAUGGAUGCUCUUUUGUGCCUCCAAGAUACACCCUUCAGUUCUGAGGCUUUCAUUUGUCCGCCCCCUGAGAUUAUUGCUGCCUGAUGUCUUUCUCCUGAGCCUUGAGACUUAUGAAUUGUCCUUGGGCAAAGGGAGCUGCCUUACCAGAAGAGACCCUCUUUCUCUAGGACACUACUUAUCAAAUGGCUAUUGAUAUGAUAGUGUAAAUGCUUGUGCCCCUAUAUAAAAGCAGAAUUCUAAAGAACCAUUUUAGCAGAGCUGCCCAAGAGAUUGGCCAAGGCCUCCUUGAGACUGUUUCACAGUUCAAGUUCUUUUUCUCGAUCUUAAUUUUUUUAUUUCUCAAUAGGUAUUAAUCCUGAGAACUCUCCUUAAUAAAAUUAUUAUGUG
This 1239-nucleotide long non-coding RNA is filed under the name Pan troglodytes (chimpanzee). RNAcentral's name for it is "long non-coding RNA NONPTRT013645". Lineage: Eukaryota; Metazoa; Chordata; Mammalia; Primates; Hominidae. The record is from RNAcentral.